GAAAGAAACGACAGAGCAGCGUGCAGAGGAGCUGGAGAGCCGGGUGUCCAGUUCUGGCCUCGACUCUCUGGGCCGGUACCGCAGCAGCUGUUCACUACCGCCCUCCCUCACCACCUCCACCCUCGCCAGCCCCUCACCUCCCAGCUCCGGACACUCCACCCCUCGUCUGGCACCUCCCAGUCCUGCCCGGGAGACCGACAAGACCAAUCAUGUCCCCAAGGACGAAGCCGGUGUUCCACGAGGGGAGGGUCCAGCCAUUCCAGGAGACACCCCACCACCCACUCCCCGCUCUGCCCGUCUUGAGAGGAUGACCCAGGCUUUGGCACUGCAAGCGGGGUCACUGGAAGAUGGGG
This 353-nucleotide long non-coding RNA is filed under the name Rattus norvegicus (Norway rat). RNAcentral's name for it is "long non-coding RNA NONRATT002631". The record is from RNAcentral. Lineage: Eukaryota; Metazoa; Chordata; Mammalia; Rodentia; Muridae.